Non-coding RNA from Arachis ipaensis, 202 nucleotides. The record is from RefSeq and is a predicted model, not a curated record. NCBI's taxonomy places the organism in Eukaryota, Viridiplantae, Streptophyta, Magnoliopsida, Fabales, Fabaceae.
CCGCUAAGGACACCAUUGGUCAAGAAGUUUUGUCCUGUUGCUAACAUCAUACAAAAUGGCAAUAUAGAUGACAAGGAACUCAUUGAUAUAAUUGUUGAGGUGGUUGGAAACAAGCGAAGACAAAUUGUCUUUACUUUUGAAGAUUUGGACAAAAAUAGGGUGACCUGUAUUUUGUUUGGAACCCUGGUGGAUCAUAUUUUAU